This 97-nucleotide small nuclear RNA is filed under the name Cucumis sativus (cucumber). The record is from RNAcentral. Lineage: Eukaryota; Viridiplantae; Streptophyta; Magnoliopsida; Cucurbitales; Cucurbitaceae.
GUUCCUUUGGGAAUAUCCGAUAAAAUUGAAACGAUAUAGAGAAGAUUAGCAUGGCCUUUGCGCAAGGAUGACAUCAAAACAAGUCGAUUAUAUAUUC